UUUAUGGAGAGUUUGAUCCUGGCUCAGGAUGAACGCUGGCGGCGUGCCUAAUACAUGCAAGUCGAGCGAACGGACGAGAAGCUUGCUUCUCUGAUGUUAGCGGCGGACGGGUGAGUAACACGUGGAUAACCUACCUAUAAGACUGGGAUAACUUCGGGAAACCGGAGCUAAUACCGGAUAAUAUUUUGAACCGCAUGGUUCAAAAGUGAAAGACGGUCUUGCUGUCACUUAUAGAUGGAUCCGCGCUGCAUUAGCUAGUUGGUAAGGUAACGGCUUACCAAGGCAACGAUGCAUAGCCGACCUGAGAGGGUGAUCGGCCACACUGGAACUGAGACACGGUCCAGACUCCUACGGGAGGCAGCAGUAGGGAAUCUUCCGCAAUGGGCGAAAGCCUGACGGAGCAACGCCGCGUGAGUGAUGAAGGUCUUCGGAUCGUAAAACUCUGUUAUUAGGGAAGAACAUAUGUGUAAGUAACUGUGCACAUCUUGACGGUACCUAAUCAGAAAGCCACGGCUAACUACGUGCCAGCAGCCGCGGUAAUACGUAGGUGGCAAGCGUUAUCCGGAAUUAUUGGGCGUAAAGCGCGCGUAGGCGGUUUUUUAAGUCUGAUGUGAAAGCCCACGGCUCAACCGUGGAGGGUCAUUGGAAACUGGAAAACUUGAGUGCAGAAGAGGAAAGUGGAAUUCCAUGUGUAGCGGUGAAAUGCGCAGAGAUAUGGAGGAACACCAGUGGCGAAGGCGACUUUCUGGUCUGUAACUGACGCUGAUGUGCGAAAGCGUGGGGAUCAAACAGGAUUAGAUACCCUGGUAGUCCACGCCGUAAACGAUGAGUGCUAAGUGUUAGGGGGUUUCCGCCCCUUAGUGCUGCAGCUAACGCAUUAAGCACUCCGCCUGGGGAGUACGACCGCAAGGUUGAAACUCAAAGGAAUUGACGGGGACCCGCACAAGCGGUGGAGCAUGUGGUUUAAUUCGAAGCAACGCGAAGAACCUUACCAAAUCUUGACAUCCUUUGACAACUCUAGAGAUAGAGCCUUCCCCUUCGGGGGACAAAGUGACAGGUGGUGCAUGGUUGUCGUCAGCUCGUGUCGUGAGAUGUUGGGUUAAGUCCCGCAACGAGCGCAACCCUUAAGCUUAGUUGCCAUCAUUAAGUUGGGCACUCUAAGUUGACUGCCGGUGACAAACCGGAGGAAGGUGGGGAUGACGUCAAAUCAUCAUGCCCCUUAUGAUUUGGGCUACACACGUGCUACAAUGGACAAUACAAAGGGCAGCGAAACCGCGAGGUCAAGCAAAUCCCAUAAAGUUGUUCUCAGUUCGGAUUGUAGUCUGCAACUCGACUACAUGAAGCUGGAAUCGCUAGUAAUCGUAGAUCAGCAUGCUACGGUGAAUACGUUCCCGGGUCUUGUACACACCGCCCGUCACACCACGAGAGUUUGUAACACCCGAAGCCGGUGGAGUAACCUUUUAGGAGCUAGCCGUCGAAGGUGGGACAAAUGAUUGGGGUGAAGUCGUAACAAGGUAGCCGUAUCGGAAGGUGCGGCUGGAUCACCUCCUUUCUA
This 1555-nucleotide ribosomal RNA is filed under the name Staphylococcus aureus. Its description in RNAcentral is "16S ribosomal RNA". It matches the Rfam family "Bacterial small subunit ribosomal RNA". The record is from RNAcentral. Lineage: Bacteria; Bacillati; Bacillota; Bacilli; Caryophanales; Staphylococcaceae.